This 104-nucleotide ribosomal RNA is filed under the name Lepisosteus oculatus (spotted gar). Lineage: Eukaryota; Metazoa; Chordata; Actinopteri; Semionotiformes; Lepisosteidae. The record is from RNAcentral.
GCCAGCAGCCAUAUCACCCUGCACCCCACUGAAGCUAAGCAGGUAUGAGCCUGGUCAGUUCCUAGAUGGGAGACCUCGUGGGAAAGCCAAAAUUGCUGCUAGAA